This 89-nucleotide non-coding RNA is filed under the name Anaerosporomusa subterranea. RNAcentral describes it as "Anaerosporomusa subterraneum Glycine sequence". It matches the Rfam family "Glycine riboswitch aptamer". Rfam says of the family: This family represents the bacterial glycine riboswitch. Glycine riboswitches usually consist of two metabolite-binding aptamers domains with similar structures in tandem. The record is from Rfam by way of RNAcentral. Lineage: Bacteria; Bacillati; Bacillota; Negativicutes; Acetonemataceae.
AUGAUGGUUAUGGGAGAGUCCGCAAUUUGGCGGCGCCGAUGGGGCAAAGCUUUGUUCAAACUCUCAGGUAAACAUACUGUAACCGGACC